UACACUCCUGCGGGAGGCAGCAGUGGGGAAUAUUGCACAAUGGGCGCAAGCCUGAUGCAGCCAUGCCGCGUGUAUGAAGAAGGCCUUCGGGUUGUAAAGUACUUUCAGCGGGGAGGAAGGCAAUACGGUUAAUAACCGUGUUGAUUGACGAUACCCGCAGAAGAAGCACCGGCUAACUCCGUGCCAGCAGCCGCGGUAAUACGGAGGGUGCAAGCGUUAAUCGGAAUUACUGGGCGUAAAGCGCACGCAGGCGGUCUGUCAAGUCGGAUGUGAAAUCCCCGGGCUCAACCUGGGAACUGCAUUCGAAACUGGCAGGCUUGAGUCUUGUAGAGGGGGGUAGAAUUCCAGGUGUAGCGGUGAAAUGCGUAGAGAUCUGGAGGAAUACCGGUGGCGAAGGCGGCCCCCUGGACAAAGACUGACGCUCAGGUGCGAAAGCGUGGGGAGCAAACAGGAUUAGAUACCCGGGUAGUCCCAUGAU
RNAcentral lists this ribosomal RNA (478 nucleotides) under uncultured organism. RNAcentral describes it as "partial 16S ribosomal RNA". It matches the Rfam family "Bacterial small subunit ribosomal RNA", at positions 332 to 801 of the family's 1533-position model. The record is from RNAcentral.